Molecule: ribosomal RNA, 496 nt
Filed under: uncultured bacterium
Lineage: Bacteria
Description: partial 16S ribosomal RNA
Rfam family: Bacterial small subunit ribosomal RNA
Source: RNAcentral
GAUGAACGCUGGCGGCGUGCCUAAUACAUGCGAGUCGAGCGAACAGAUGAGGAGCUUGCUCCUCUGACGUUAGCGGCGGACGGGUGAGUAACACGUGGAUAACCUACCUAUAAGACUGGGAUAACUUCGGGAAACCGGAGCUAAUACCGGAUAAUAUAUUGAACCGCAUGGUUCAAUAGUGAAAGACGGUUUUGCUGUCACUUAUAGAUGGAUCCGCGCCGCAUUAGCUAGUUGGUAAGGUAACGGCUUACCAAGGCAACGAUGCGUAGCCGACCUGAGAGGGUGAUCGGCCCCACUGGAGCUGAGACACGGUCCAGACUCCUACGGGCGGCAGCAGUAGGGAAUCUUCCGCAAUGGGCGAAAGCUUGACGGAGCAACGCCGCGUGAGUGAUGAAGGUCUUCGGAUCGUAAAACGCUGUUAUUAGGGAAGAACAAAUGUGUAAGUAACUAUGCACGUCUUGACGGUACCUAAUCAGAAAGCCACGGCUAACUACGU